Molecule: ribosomal RNA, 321 nt
Filed under: uncultured eukaryote
Lineage: Eukaryota
Description: partial 18S ribosomal RNA
Rfam family: Eukaryotic small subunit ribosomal RNA
Source: RNAcentral
CCCUUAGAUGUUCUGGGCCGCACGCGCGCUAUACUGAUGAACGCAACGAGACCACCUGUACCGAAAGGCAUGGGUAAACUUGUGAAAGUUCAUCGUGAUGGGGAUAGAUUAUUGCAAUUAUUAAUCUUCAACGAGGAAUUCCUAGUAAGCGCGAGUCAUCAGCUCGCGUUGAUUACGUCCCUGCCCUUUGUACACACCGCCCGUCGCUCCUACCGAUUGAAUGGUCCGGUGAAAUCUUCGGAUUGCUGGAUAGGACUUCAUUGACCUAUCUGCGAGAAGUUGCUUGAACCUUAUCAUUUAGAGGAAGGAGAAGUCGUAACA